AUGCUACCUUCUCAUCAGCUCCUAGAGUUUGCUACAGUAGCCUCCAACCCAUCAAUGGCUUCCUCCUCAUCCUCAGGUCCACUCAAGCCUGUUGCUGACCUUCCAUCAUCCUGCAGCCCUGCAUCUCAUCAUCCUCUUCAGUUUAUAACUGAUGUUGGUUUGGCUGCCUCUCAUGCUGAAAGCAAGGUUUCACCUUGCCGACAGGCUGAUGGUUCUCCAAGUGCUGAAGUAAUGGGGCCAGAGGUUAGCCUUCCAGAGGAUAUCAUUUGGAAGAUACAUGCCCUUAUGGCUAUUCAAGAUGCCGCUCGUGCUGCCUGCUUGUCUCAUGAUUUUCUUCACUCUUGGAGAUGCUAUCCCAAGCUCAUAUUUGAUAUGAGAGCACUAGGCAAACAAACAAGGGAUUUUACCAAAUAG
This 414-nucleotide ribosomal RNA is filed under the name Triticum aestivum (bread wheat). Its description in RNAcentral is "partial small subunit ribosomal RNA". Lineage: Eukaryota; Viridiplantae; Streptophyta; Magnoliopsida; Poales; Poaceae. The record is from RNAcentral.